CCUACGGGUGGCAGCAGUGAGGAAUAUUGGUCAAUGGACGAGAGUCUGAACCAGCCAAGUAGCGUGAAGGAUGACUGCCCUAUGGGUUGUAAACUUCUUUUAUAUGGGAAUAAAACAGGGUAUGCAUACCCUCUUGUAUGUACCAUAUGAAUAAGGAUCGGCUAACUCCGUGCCAGCAGCCGCGGUAAUACGGAGGAUCCAAGCGUUAUCCGGAUUUAUUGGGUUUAAAGGGAGCGUAGGUGGAUUGUUAAGUUAGAUGUGAAAGUUUGCGGCUUAACUGGAAAAUUGCAGUUGAUACUGGUAGUCUAGAGAGUAGAAGCGGUAGGCGGAAUGUGUGGUGUAGCGGUGAAAUGCUUAGAGAUCAUACAGAACACCGAUUGCGAAGGCAGCUUAC
RNAcentral lists this ribosomal RNA (394 nucleotides) under uncultured bacterium. RNAcentral describes it as "partial 16S ribosomal RNA". It matches the Rfam family "Bacterial small subunit ribosomal RNA", at positions 338 to 729 of the family's 1533-position model. The record is from RNAcentral.